Erinaceus europaeus (western European hedgehog) is the source of this 434-nucleotide long non-coding RNA. RefSeq lists it as uncharacterized. The transcript has 3 exons. Lineage: Eukaryota; Metazoa; Chordata; Mammalia; Eulipotyphla; Erinaceidae. The record is from RefSeq and is a predicted model, not a curated record.
UUUUUUUUUGCCUCCAGGGUUAUUGCUGGGGCUUGGUGCUUACACUAUGAAUCCACUGCUUCUUGAGGCUAUUUUUUGCCUUUUGUUGCCCUUGUUGUUUAUUGUUGUUGUUAUAGUAAUUAUUGUUGUUGUUCUUGGAUAGGACAGAGAGGUACCAAGAGAGGACGGGAAGACAGAGAGGGGGAGAGAAAGCCAGACACCUGCAAAUCUGCUUCACUGCCUCUGAAGCGAUCCCCCGACCCCUGCCUGCAGGGAUCCUCUGCUGAGACCUGGGCUGGCUGGCCCCCAAACAAAUGUUUUAGGAGUGACAGAAGCAUCCCCUUGGCUUUAAGCUGUUCUACAAGACUUGUCCCUGGUUACUUGGCUUGAGAGAUGAUGGAAGGGCUGGGGGAGCCGAGGGUCACCUCUGAGGAGGAGCAGCAGGACCAGGGAGC